Siniperca chuatsi (mandarin fish) is the source of this 3114-nucleotide long non-coding RNA. RefSeq lists it as uncharacterized. The record is from RefSeq and is a predicted model, not a curated record. NCBI's taxonomy places the organism in Eukaryota, Metazoa, Chordata, Actinopteri, Centrarchiformes, Sinipercidae. The transcript has 3 exons.
GUUGUGCCCUCAUGUCUGUUGGAUUGGGUCAUUAUAUCGUGUAGUCUAACACCAGCAUUAGGAUGACAGCAACAGUAAUCUUGCUGUCAGAAAGAUAGUUAUUAAUAUGAAACACUACUCUGUUUCUUUGUGACUAUUUGAGCUGUAGACAUAGUAUAUUAUUUGAACAAGCUCAAACUGGCUCUAAAUAGCUCUGUUCUGAGAAUACCACUAAGAUUUGCAUAGCUGGAUCUUUAGGUAGCUGUAAUGGACAUCAGUGUGACAUCAACUGCCAAAAGAUUUCCCAGCAUCGUAGAAGCAAACAAUUUUUUUUAAUCCUCUGCCUGUUUCUUUGGUGUCUGUAACCAAAAAUGAUGACCUGAUAGUAGUGAGUAAUAUAUUUUGAUCAUGACAACUCAUUUGCCAAUAUCUGGUCAAGCCAACAUUUUUUUCAGCUGUGGCGGAAAGAAAUUACGUACAUCUAGUUCUGUACUUAAGUUGAAUUUUAGAGGUACUUGUACUAACUCGAGUAUUUCCAAUUUAUGCAGCUUUAUCCAUCACAUUUCUGAGGAAAAUGUACUGAAAAUGUAUUAACAUUUACAGCCCUGCAAUAAAUUCUCCUUUCAGGAAGGCUAUAAUGUUCAGUUUUUGUUUGAACGGUUUUAGAGGGGUGUAGACUCCAUGUUUUGGUCAUUUUGGAGGCUGCUGAACUGUAUUGUUACAAAGAGGAGUUGAUUUAGUAACUUAAUUUGGAGUGUGACUUGAGGACAGUGGAGGCUGGCCAAUAGGGAGCGCAGGUGGGAAGUAUGUUUUGAUUUUUCUUUUUAACAUAAACAUUUUUAAAAUAAACAACAAUUACUUAUUUUAAGUAUGUGUGUUUAAAAUGCACAAUAAUGUGUAAUAUAUAAAAUAUAAAUCAUCAUGUUGGGGGGAGGUUCAUACCCUCUCUUUCUUUAAAAACAUUGCAGCAAAUAGCUGAAUAGCCAAUCAACGUCUUCGAAUGUGAUGUCUAAAAUAUUCAUAUUCUUUUCAGCGCAAGGCGCUCAUCAUUGUCAGAUUUGAUUGGCAGCCAAUCAAAGCAGUAAAGCCCGCCUCCUUUGAUUUGAUUGGCAGCCAAUCGCAGUAAAGCGGGCUUUACCACUUUCUUCCUGUUUCUUGAGCAGCCGGGUGAAUCUGAGUAUGAGACCGUUUAAUAUGGCGAUUAAUGGACUGUGAGAAAGCUAGCUAGCUAGCAGCGGCUGUUUUGGUGUUUUUGAAGCGGCUGCCUGUAGCGGUGCGUCUCUGUGUGUUCACGUUCAUUAUAUAAGUAGAAGUACAGAAGUAUUACCAGUUAAUGCCCACUAUAUAAAGAACCAGGUGCAACAAUACAGCUUACAAAUUAAUGCAUGUAUGAUAAAAACAAACUUCCGUCUGCAUUUGGAAACAUUUUACUUUACUUGAUACUUUAACUACACACUACUUAAGCCAUUUUUAAAUGCAGGACUUUUACUUGUAUUUGAGUAAAGGGCGAUUCAUUUAGCGCCCCCAGCACGCUCGGUCACCUGGCGUUACUGACAUCGGUGAGCGCGGUACUCCAGACAUAUUUCAUCCAUUUCACAGGAGAACUUUGGUGGAGAAGGGCUUGGCCCACAUCAACCGGACACCAAAACAGGCUAGCGAACAAGGUACAGCUACACGCGAGGCUUCUCCCGUAAUUGGAAACUACAACAGAAAGGUUUAGCUAGCCGGAUACUGUCAUGUAAAUGCAGUAUUUUGCUUCCCAUGAUGGCGGCUAAAGAUAUACUGUAACAUGGACUGUUACAGGUUAGGGACAUGAAACAUUUAUCUGAGAAGACUGGACAUGGAGAGUUGGGGAAGCUAGUCAUGCUAGGCAGGGUUAACAUCGCCUCGCGACUGGGCUGAGGAGCAGAAGAGUCUACAUCACAGGAAUCACGACGAUCAGGGGAAUACAGCUGAUCUGUGCAGCAGCAGCAGCCCACAAAGACAGGAGGACAUUUGGACAAGGAGAACAACAGCUGUGGCCAUAGUGCCAUGUGAUAGAUUCCACUCACCACACAACUACCAAGGAAGGCAGACACUGAAGUGUUUAGAUGUGGUUAUUUCACAUUCCUCAUAUUAAGCAGUAAGCUGCCCUUGCUUGUCACUAAAUAACAUGCUCAUCUUGAAAGAGGAUGCUGAUGCCAUUGUUUAGACUGAGACAUGUGAAAAUGUAAUUCUGCUGUCUGCUGCUAUGUGCACUGCCCAGUUUAAAACAAAAAGAUGCAUCAUUUCAUAUGUUGCUCUUUGACUAAGCACCGCAUCAGCGCCACUUGUUCCAGGAACACACAUGCAUACUGUACCCUCUAUCUGAGCACAUUAGGGCUGCAACUAAUGACAAUUGUCAUUAUCUAUUAAUCUGCUGAUUAUUUUCUUGAUUGUUAGGUCUAUAAAAAGUGAAAAAAGCACUUUGAAGAUGUCACUUUAGGCUCUAGGAAAAUACAAAGUGCUUGUUUUCUCUAACCAACACCAAAGAUAUUUCAUUGACUUUCAUAUUAGACAAAUGAAAGGAGCAACCAACAUAUGUUUGGAAUUUUUGCUUGGAAAAUCAUUCAAACGAUAAAACUAUUAUUAUCAAAAUUGUUGCAGAUUGUAUUUUUUUCGAUCGACAAAUUGAUUAAUCAAUUAAUCAUUGCAGCUCUGGAGCACAUUAACAAUAAGUAUCAUUUAUCUUGGUCAUAAAAUACUGUACACUAUUCUUCCAGUCAGAGGUUAGAAUUCAGCCACUUGAGAUCCAUUUCUUUAUUAUACAGCCCUAAAACAGUGUAAGAUUCUUAGAAACAUUAAGUAAAUCUUUAUAAUUUGAUGUUGUUGUAUAUAGUCCACUUUCUGCUCUGUUCUGACGGUGUACCUCUUGCGUUGCCUUUUUGCUUACUAAUGGCACCGUUUCAUGUGCUCAACAGCGCAGCCGCACACCUCUGCCACAGAGGGGCACAGGCGUAACAGUCAACAGCCUUUACAGAUGUGUGAAAAUAAAUCUGUCACUUGUUUAUGAGUUCAGUUUCAAAUGCAAAGCUGUAUUUGUGCAAAAUGCUGUUUUAUGUUUUUGGGUAAGAAUGCCUCAACUUUUUAAUACUGCCAUUAAAUAAUUACUGACUA